This 564-nucleotide ribosomal RNA is filed under the name Triticum aestivum (bread wheat). RNAcentral describes it as "partial small subunit ribosomal RNA". The record is from RNAcentral. Lineage: Eukaryota; Viridiplantae; Streptophyta; Magnoliopsida; Poales; Poaceae.
AUGCAGCAGCCACGACAUCGCCAGAGCUGCGAUGCAGUGGUCGGAGUCGACACCACGGGAGCUGCCAUGCAACGGUCAUCGACGCCAUCAGAGCUUCAAUGCAGCAGCCACGACGUCGCUGAGCUGCGAUGCAGCGGCCGUCGGAGUCGACGCUGCCGGCAAAUGCUGCACUGUAGCACCGGGAGCCGCAGGCGAUGCUCCAUUGCAACAUCGAGCGUCGUAGCUCUGGAGCCACUGGCGAAGCUCCAAUGCACCACCGAGGUCGCUUCGCAGCUUCGGGCCGCCGGCGAGCACUGCAUCGCAGCGCCGGGAGCCGCCGGCGAAGCUCCAUUGCAGCACCAAGGUUGCAUCGCAGCGCCGGGAGCCGCCGGCGAAGCUCCAUUGCAGCACCAAGGUUGCAUCGCAGCUCUGGGAAACGCCGACGACCUUUGCGUCGCAGCACUGACAGCUGCCAGCGGAGCUUCAUUGCAGCGCCGGCGGAGCUCUUCAUUGCAGCCCGGCGGAGCUUCAUUCGCAGGCUCGCAGCAAGGGUGCAGUUGCAAAAAAAAACGGCGAGCCCUCUAG